CAAACACAACGAAGAAUUCGUUAGUCUGAACUUUUAUACAAAUUAAAAGCAAUUCGAUUAUCCUUUCUCCCUCCAAAUCGAUUUCCAUCCCUGGUGAACCCUAAUCGAGCAAUUGCUCAGCUGUCGGCCGCAGUUCCGCCAGCGAUGGCCGGCCAUCGUGGUCCGGAGUAUAAUCCUAGGCUCAGCCCUGUGUUUUUUUAGUAUUCCACUGUGUGGCCUCCGUUCGGUCUCUCCCUAGGUGUAGAGUAGGUGUAGAGUGAUUCACGUCUUGGCUGCUUGUAUAUGCAGCGUUUGUUUUCCGUCUGACCAUCGUUGGCCGGCGCCGGAGCCGGCGUAUUGUGCGCAAGUUUUCUGCUUUCCCUUUCUCCUGCAUUGUGGAAGGCAAGGAUGGGAGCUCAGCAGAACGACAAUGGUGGCAAUAGGGAUGAAGAGGUAAAAGAUGGGACUGUUUGGAGAGGUUUGGUUUUUGCAGUUACUCACCAUAUACCGGUUGUUCAUGGAUGCUGGAUUUGAUGUAAAUGAGCUUUUACUGAUUGUGUGGUUUUGAGUGCUAAGUACAGGCAAGCCGUCGAAUUGUGCCGAAUUCUUGGUUUAGAGGAUAAGGUUUCUGGUGAGUUUGAAGCUCUUUGUUUUGUUAUAACUGAGUUUAUAUGCUAUAGUGUUAUUGCAUUUUAGUAGAUUUCGUAGGUUGUAUUGUAGUUAGCUUGUUAUUAUCAGCCAAUUGCAAUGUGGUAGGGAAGUUCAUUUUGUGUUUCUUACUUUAUUGAUCGAUCUAUCUCGAUAUGUUUGGCACUUAUUAUGAUGCACUUUUAUAUGCAUCUCUGCUGAAAGUUGGGUAUGAGCAACUGUAUAUGUUGUUUCAAACAGAUAUUAUAUACGAAAGCUUAUUAGUAAGCACCAACAACUUAUAUCUCUCAAAUUUAUUUUUGAGUUCGGACUAACUGAUGAGUACCCCCUGGUGCCUUUACCGAAAGCCUUCGUGAUGGAAUCGUGUAAAAGUGUUCAUGCAGUUCAUAAGGUUGGAGAGAGUUCUAGCCAAUCAUUGGUACUAUUUUGUAUGUUCAUUAUUUUGCAGACCUCACAUCCUUUGAUAUUCAUGAAUUUUUUUAUACUUAACAUUAAAAUUGUGGUGCUUUAUCCUUUUGAAUGUGUUCAUGCCAUUUGAGUGCUCCUUGGAUAGGGAAAGUAGGAUAAUGUAUUCUUAAUUUCACGGAAAAUAAACACGAAGUUAGUGAAAUAUUUUUAGUUAAUUUUGUUUAAUAUAACAAGAAGACACUACUUUCCAGUACAAUAAUUAGACACACUUAUCUUAGGCUCAAAUUUCUUUGUUUUAGAUUUUCAAUAAUUCUCUUCAUAUUCUAGUAAUGAGUUGGCAUAACCUUUAUAAAUGAGCCUCUGACUUUAGAUUAGUCUCAGUUCGAAUACUUUUUUGACACUUGCCAGCUCAAUGCAUUCAUCGUCUACAUUGAGUUAUUGCAUAAUCUCUUGAUUAUGAUAUCAUCUUGAGAAACUCUUAUGGUACAGCCAACCACAUAUUUCAAUUACUUUAGGUAAAUUAUAUAGAUGAUAAUCAAUUCUUUUACUUCAAGGGCUUUUGGAAAUGUUUGAAUUUAUUAAAAUAUUGUUAAAAUCAUGGCUAAAAAAAUACUAGAGACUCACUUUGCUUAUGUUUACCUAUAGAAUGCACAAUUAACAGAAAUAAAAUUCAGGAUGGUUCUUUUUUAACACAAGGGUUAUUAUUCAUUGAAAUUGUUGCCGAAUAUUUCGAUAUGUUAUUUUCUCUGAAUUUUUGUGCAUUCUAAAAGGUAUAUACAGUAAGUAUUUAUUUACGCAUAUUGAAUAAAAACAAACCUGUAUUGAAUGGUUUCUUUGCUCCUUUUAAGACAUUUCAUUUUCUUAAGGAUGUAUUCUCUUGCAUGUCAUCUUUUAGACACAAACACGGAUACUACGGGACUAUACUAUAUCAAUAAUACAUUGUUAUACUUUUUUUGUAAGACCGAUAUCUUGAAAUUAUAGAAGUUAUAUUAAAAGCAUUUAUUUUGUACUAAAAUCAAGGACACAAAGAUUCAAGUUUAUAAAAAUUUGGUAACACACCAUGUUAGAGUUCUUCCUCACAUAUAUCCCUAAUAUUUAUCAUAUUGUCACUCAAUGUGUUUUUUUUAUAGAAUUAGGCUAUAUAUGAGUUAAACCAUCUGACAAUCUAUUGUAUAUAUAUUAUUUUUCUACACAUGAAAACUAAGAGCAGCAUGAAUCAGAUGUCCAGUGCCACUACUGUUGAGGCUGCACGUUUUGGUCAUGGAAUUUAUAGGCAAGUCAGGUUGGGAUGCUUCUAGACUCAAAGAUGCUAGCUUAUCCCUGUAUAAGUUGCGCGAAUGUUAUGCAGAGUGCAAGCUAGUGCAUGGCUACCUCAGGUCACCUUUACAUAAUUGUUGUUUCACAAGCAGUUGAUCUUGACCAUUCUCAGAUUCAACAAAUGAUUUUGACAAGAGGUGAUGUAAUCUUUGUUGAGGAAGAAAUCGAGGACCUGGGUUUGUGCAAAAGACCUUGGAUGAUGUGAGGAAUGCUGAGGAGGAUGUGCAACAUAUCAUCAGUGAAGAUGACACUAAUGACAUGUACUAUCAAACGGUAAUAGGCCUUAAGAAGGUUCUUUCUUUGAGCAAUCCAUCCGAGGCACAGGAGCAGGAGCAGCAACAGUAGCUGGAAUGUAACAAAAAGGUUGCGAAAGAUGAGCUCACAAACUCUCAUGGCUUAGUUGAGGAAGAAUUUGAAACAACUAGUAAUGAAAGUAAUCAAGAUACUAAUGACUCCGAUUGCGAUUCAUCUGCUGAAAAUGUUAAGUAGACAGCAACGGACAGGAAAGCAGCCAGGAAAGUGAACAAGAAGAAAAAGAAAGGCUCGGAAGAAUAAAGUUCCGAAAGCUAUAAAUACUAAGAAAAAGAAGCUAGCUAAAGCCAAGGAGUACCGGAGAGAAAAGCUACAUCCUAACACCUGUAACAUAGAAAGAAAUUCUAUGUUUUUCUAGCUUGCAAGAAUAUGUUUUUUGUUAUUGCACGCUUCAAAUCUAGGAUAAAAGUACUACAUCCUUCUAACAAGCUUAUGUGACUUAAUUAUUAGAGAAUGCAGACAAUUCUAAUGUUUCAAUACCAAUAGAAAAUUCUAUUUUUCUCUCA
Molecule: RNA transcript, 3170 nt
Organism: Andrographis paniculata
Lineage: Eukaryota; Viridiplantae; Streptophyta; Magnoliopsida; Lamiales; Acanthaceae
Exons: 6
Source: RefSeq, a predicted model, not a curated record